RNAcentral lists this non-coding RNA (98 nucleotides) under Candidatus Lloydiibacteriota. Its description in RNAcentral is "Candidatus Lloydbacteria SAM-I sequence". It matches the Rfam family "SAM riboswitch aptamer (S box leader)". From Rfam's summary of the family: The SAM riboswitch is found upstream of a number of genes which code for proteins involved in methionine or cysteine biosynthesis in Gram-positive bacteria. The SAM riboswitch acts at the level of transcription termination control. The record is from RNAcentral.
GCUUUAUCCAGAGUGUGGCGAGAGACUGGCUCAACGACCCACCGGCAACCCUCAGCAGUGAGAAGGUGCCUCCAGCCCCGACAGGGGAAAGAUAACGU